UCGAGCGGUAAGGCCCUUCGGGGUACACGAGCGGCGAACGGGUGAGUAACACGUGAGCAACCUGCCCCUGACUCCGGGAUAAGCGGUGGAAACGCCGUCUAAUACCGGAUAUGACCUGCCACCUCAUGGUGGCGGGUGGAAAGUUUUAUCGGUCAGGGAUGGGCUCGCGGCCUAUCAGCUUGUUGGUGGGGUAACGGCCUACCAAGGCGAUUACGGGUAGCCGGCCUGAGAGGGCGACCGGCCACACUGGGACUGAGACACGGCCCAGACUCCUGCGGGAGGCAGCAGUGGGGAAUAUUGCACAAUGGGCGAAAGCCUGAUGCAGCGACGCCGCGUGGGGGAUGACGGCCUUCGGGUUGUAAACCUCUUUUACCACCAACGCAGGCUCCGGGUUCUCUCGGGGUUGACGGUAGGUGGGGAAUAAGGACCGGCUAACUACGUGCCAGCAGCCGCGGUAAUACGUAGGGUCCGAGCGUUGUCCGGAAUUAUUGGGCGUAAAGAGCUCGUAGGCGGCAUGUCGCGUCUGCUGUGAAAGACCGGGGCUUAACUCCGGUUCUGCAGUGGAUACGGGCAUGCUAGAGGUAGGUAGGGGAAACUGGAAUUCCUGGUGUAGCGGUGAAAUGCGCAGAUAUCAGGAG
This 638-nucleotide ribosomal RNA is filed under the name Nocardiopsis exhalans. RNAcentral's name for it is "bacterial SSU rRNA". It matches the Rfam family "Bacterial small subunit ribosomal RNA", at positions 62 to 703 of the family's 1533-position model. Lineage: Bacteria; Bacillati; Actinomycetota; Actinomycetes; Streptosporangiales; Nocardiopsidaceae. The record is from RNAcentral.